Long non-coding RNA from Hylaeus volcanicus, 1305 nucleotides. RefSeq lists it as uncharacterized. The record is from RefSeq and is a predicted model, not a curated record. Lineage: Eukaryota; Metazoa; Arthropoda; Insecta; Hymenoptera; Colletidae. The transcript is spliced from 3 exons.
UGUGCUUUUACAUCCAAUUGUUUUUAACUGUAGUUUAAAUAAAAAUAUUUACUCGUUACUUUGUUACGUUAAUUUAGCAACCUUCGAAGAUCUCAACUCAAUCUCCAUUGUAAUGAAUAUCUACGCAAGCUAAGUCUCAAUCUGGUAACAAUUGCAAUUUAUUUACACGUAAAAAGAAGUUCAGUAGAAAGCAAAUUUUGGUUGUUAUGAGUAUGUGACAAUUAUUAGAAAUUAAUUCUGUAUCUUUAUAUUUGACAUUUUGUUUUGUAAGAGUACCAACCUUCUAAGUAAAUUUUCAAUUGUAAUGAAUUUAAAUGCAUAACCUAGUCUCAACCUGAUAGACGUUACAAUGUCUGAUUAAAGAAAAAUCGUAUUAAAAAAAAAAAUUAAUUAUAAUAAAUAAAUAGCGAGUUCGCUCGAAAAGACCAUGUAAUUAAUUUCUACGCCUAAUACUCGUUACUGGCUGUGCGUGCCAAUAAUUUUGUGACUCACCGUGUGUGGAUUUCCAUAGUUUCGCUCAUAGCCCUGAAUGCCUUUCACUCGUCUACGUCGCAUUGUUUCGCAAACAUGCGGAAGAUGAAACGUAAUUCGUUGUACGACCGAAAAGAAGGAGACUCCUCGCGGAAAAGUGACUCGAAAGUACGAAAUUAAUUUUACUGCCACCGAUGGUCGAUAAAAUCGAGUUUCAAAGUUAGGGUACCAGCAGGAGUAACAAAUUUAUCAAAAUGAAAUAAGUAAAAUAAUAAAAUUACUGAAAUAAAUAAACUGAUAAGAUUACUAGCAGUAGCGUGAUUUAAUUUGUCGCUCUGUUCCAAUAAAUAUUAAAAAUAUGGUUUAUCAUACCUACAGUUAUUGAUGACAAGAUACUUAUAGAAUGGAUCAGGAAACUCAUGAUUGAUCAAACGAAACUCAUGUGUAAUAAUUGAGCGGAUUCUGCUCUCAGUCUCCAACUGUGUAUUUAGGGAGAAGGCAAUUGGCCCUGUACUAUCGAUUUCCCAUAGAGACAAGCAUCCCAAUGUCUAGCUUCUCAAGUGAAUGGUGGAAGAGUAUCGUCACACAUGACCUACGUAGCUACAUCUAAUAUCUGAGGAAACAUUCUGACGAAACAUUAUCUAACAACUGUAACAAGUGAUUUUGUAAACAAAACUUGCAGUGAGAUGCUUCUAUUAACACUAGAAUUACCAAACAAGUCAAUUUGAUUCAUGUAUGUAGAACUUCUUUCUAAAAUUAUUCAAUUAAGACUAGUUAUGUCGAUAAAGUGAUUUGUUCUUUCCUCAUUAAUAAAUAAUUCUGAGUAACUAAUGA